Microplitis mediator is the source of this 1039-nucleotide long non-coding RNA. RefSeq lists it as uncharacterized. The transcript has 2 exons. The record is from RefSeq and is a predicted model, not a curated record. NCBI's taxonomy places the organism in Eukaryota, Metazoa, Arthropoda, Insecta, Hymenoptera, Braconidae.
UUGAUUGUUCAGUACCUUGACGACAAAUUCAAAUGGAAUAAUAAACGUAGUAAUCCAUUAAAACAUGUCAUGUUACCAAUGUUUAUAUUUUAUAAUACAUAUUUCCAAUCUAAGUACUCUCUAAUUAUCAUAACCAUUAAUCACAGUCUAGGUGUUUAUUUUUCUGUGAUCGCACUCGACAUUAAAGCAAAAAGUUAAUGCUCAUAAUAAAGGAAACAAAAAAAAAUAACAAUAAUUAUUUAAAGUUGCAUGUAAAUAAGUACGGACGUGAAACGCGAAGAAUUACGUGCAUAAUUUACUUGCAUUUAGUCGCUCUUAUCGUUUGGUAACCUUGUGAUAAAGGAAAAUUAAAAAAUAUAUCGUUGAAAACACGAAUAGUAAACAGUUAUAGGUGAACAUUACGUUGUAAAUUAUUGAAUUUACUGCCACAGUAUGACUUAUUUUAAUAAUUUUUUUUUAAAUUACAUUUCAAGUUUCUCAAUAUUUUUAUUUAUUAUUUUAGUCUUGAACGAAUCAAAAAUGGAUGACAAAGGUCCAGUUCCUUAUCCAGUAGACCGUGAUAAUUAUCAGGGUCCUUAAUGACACUUAUUUAAUCAAUCAAUUUGUAUAUUUAUUGGUAAAUUAAAGGGGUUAAAUAAUUUAAAAAAUAUUUAAUUUAAAACACUUGUGUAUGAAUAAAAACUUACGUGCGCUAGCAUUGCGGGAUAAUCUUGGGAAUAGAGUACAAAAGCACCAAUGAGAUGGGUAACGGAGAAAAUAACACCAGCAAUGCAGGCAUGACGUAGUCGAAUUGGCAAAAGAGCGUAGGCCAUGUAGAUAAAAAAACAAACAGACCAAGCUGCCGCGAGUGGUCCACCUGUACGUAAAUGGUCGAUUCUCGUCAUUGACAUUGUGCUGGCUGUUGAGUCAGAGCUUAACAUGUCUCUCAUGAUCAUAUCCUCGGGAUUCAUAGUGGCUAUUUUAUCGUCCCAAUUUGGUAAAUAGGCCAGAUGAAUAUUUAGUGUAAUUUGUAGUCCUAGUAAUGUUACUAGUACUGCUC